RNAcentral lists this long non-coding RNA (26710 nucleotides) under Physcomitrium patens. RNAcentral describes it as "long non-coding RNA (PPAT_LNC015021)". The stretch from base 26315 to 26608 matches the Rfam family "Metazoan signal recognition particle RNA". The record is from RNAcentral. Lineage: Eukaryota; Viridiplantae; Streptophyta; Bryopsida; Funariales; Funariaceae.
GGAGGGAGGGUACGCAGCGGACAUCUGGGCGGGGUAGCGUCCGCUUGUAACCCAAUCGCGGGGGAAGGAGGGUGAGGAUGUGGGGCGCCGGGUAAGGGCCUGCGGAGGCGUGUGGAGGGCCUGCCCACUCCAAGCACGGAGUCGCUAGUGGGAUCUCGCCGGAGGGUGGGGUUGCGCGGGCGAUAGUGAGGGGGGCACCGCGUCAGGCGGGCAACCGAGCAGCGUUCACUCCCCGCUCUGUGUAGUGGAGGGAUAACGGGUCUGAAUGUUCUGCGCAGAUCACCCUGUCCGGCAUGCAUCCACAUACCAUCUUCCGUUUUGUCACCCUUUCAUCCUGAUUAUGUUUGACAAGUGGACAAGAAUAAUAAUUCCUUUUUCUUUUCUUUUUAAGUUUCAUAUUAUUUUGCGGACUAUCCACCUAUAAACUAUCAUUUUUUUUUUCUUCCAACAUUAAUGCUUUCUUUCAAAAAGAGAGUGGAUUGCUCUCAUCUUUGAAAAAUAAUUCAUUUGAUACACAAGCUUGCAAAUUAUCCUUCUCUUAUUUAACUUCUAGAUAUAUUAAAUUAAUUUAUUAUAUAAAUAAAAUAAAUAGUUAUGAAUGCUAAACUUUGUGGAAGUGAGAAUAUAUUUGCAACUAUUACAAAUUUUUAUAGACUUGUCAACAUUCUUUGGAUGAAAAUUUCACAUAUUAUCAACCUUAAUUAUAGAAGUACUAUUUCUACACCUAUGGAAGAAGUUAACAAUAAAGUCCAAUGUCUACACUAUGAAUUUGUGUAGUUUAGAGAAACAUAAAUGUUAAUGUGUCUUCUAAUAGAACUAUUCCAAAAGGCAAGUCAGAUGCCAAUGCACCACAAUCAAAUAAGGUUUUUCUUGACAUACUCAUAGCAGUUGCUACAAAUGUGAUUGAAAUGAAUUCUUUCCUUCCAUCACUAGUAGGCCAUCUUGGUCAAAUCCAUACUUCUUCAGUCCAAUUAUUUGGACCAAAACCAAAUAGAUAAUGGGCUUGUUGAUCCACUAAAAUAUUAUAGUUGGUGACAUUAGUCACUGCAUACUUUAGAAACAAGUGUGAAUAAAGUGGACUAGAUCCAAUGCAAAAUAUUAAUUGCAAAGGUUGCUUGGUAUAGCCGGUAGCUUGCUCCAUGCUCCCUACUAAAGUGACAAUGGUAAAAGGACAAGGUUCCAAGUCUAUGGGAGUGAGACCUUGCUUUGUAUGGUAGAGGGAUAACAGGCUUGAAUGUUCUAUGCAAAUCACCCUACCUGGCAUGCAUCCACAUACCAUCUUUUCUUUUGACACAAAUAAAGUGAAGAUUGUCAAAGAGAAAUAAAGUAAUGCAACAAUUGGCUACAAAUUCUAAUAAAUUUUUUUUAAAAAAUAUAUAUAUAUAUAUAUAUAUAUAUAUAACUAAAAAAUUAUUUGAAGUACAUUAGAAGAAAGAAGAAUUGAAACCAACUAAAUAUUUGAUUAGCAAGUAACUUCCAAUUGGCUACUUUUAGUGAUGUGUUGAUUUUUUAAAACGUUCUUAAAGAAAUAAAAGCUUUAGAUGUAGAAGUAGAUGUUCAUGUCAAAAUAUUCCUUUAAUCUCAUCAUGUAAUUAUUAUCUUUUUUCUAAACUUAAAAUAUUCUCUUUAUGAUUAUCAUAAUUAAAUAGUAUAAGUAGGAAUAAAAAACUAAUGGUCGCUUAAAUAAAUAACUAUAUAUUCAGAGCAUGUGCUUUUAUUCUAAAAAUAAUUUAAAAUCAUAGAAUUAGGUACAUUUUGCUUUUAUGUAUGUUUUAUUUGUGAAAUUUAAAAUUUGAUCUUGAAUAAUGUGGUAAUUAAAUAUUCUUACAACCAAAUGUUUUAGCCUAAAAAAUUAAAAUUUGAAAAAAGACAAAAUAAUAGUUUGUGAGAAUAGAAACUUAAAAAUAAAAAUCAAUGUUUAAAAAAUAAUGAAAAAAAUUUAAUACGAAGAAAUUUUGCUACAAAUAAUUUUUAUUUACAUGUAGGCAUGUUUGGUGAAAUCUAUUCAUAUACUUAAGAAAAUGGUAAGUAAUUUCUUAUUGGCUAGUACAUCAAAAUUGAUAAGCUCUAAACUAAUCCAUAGCAUAUGUUGCAAAGUAAAUAAGAAAUGUAGUCUUGAUUUAAUUUACUUAGAAGAAGCUCUAAAAACUUUGUUAUUAAAUUAAACAAUCAAAAAAAAUUAAUAUAAAAAAUAAUAUUUUAUAUUUUUUUAUCACACAAAACAUAACUAAAGUUUCAAUAAAAAGCUAUUAUAGCUAGUAGUUUAAUUUAUCUUUGAUUUGUGCCUCAAAUCUUUUUUUAAAUUUAAAAACUAGAAAAAGAAUUAAAAAGGCCUAGGCUAAAAUGAUAAUUUAUUAAAAGUUAGAAUUGCCGAAUUAAUUUUAAAAUAUGAAAACUAAUCAUGGUAAAAGAAUUUAGUUUGAACCAUUUUACAUCUAGACAUCUUAACAUCUAGUUUUAAAGUGUAGCUGAAAUACUAUAAAUAUAAAAUGCAAAGAACUAAGGAUUUUUUUAGAUUCCAUACACAAUACAAUUUUACAACAAUGGAAGCUAAAAUAGAAUAAAGUCUUUAAAUAAAAAAUUAUUAAUCAUGAUAAUAUAUCAUAUUCACUUAUUCAAAACUCUUACUAUUCUCUCAUCCAAACAUAUAGCACCUUGGUAAAAAAACUCUUUGCAUUUGCUUGCUAAAGUACACAUCUUGAAUUCAUAACAAGAAGUCUUUAUAAGACCCUUAGACUAUGCUGCACAAUUUUGUGAGCUGCAUGCCGUUCAUUUUGCAAACUCUUCUAAAGUGCACAAAAAUUGUUUUGUCAUUGCAGCAAAGAAACUAAGUUUGUUUUACUACAACAAUACCCCAAAUUAGAAUUAUAAUUGGUGGCUAAACUCUUCUAUCAAUAGUAUGUAGUAUUCUACAUUGUUGUAUUAAUGGACAACAACAUUAGACUGCAGUACUAAUAUAGGUGAAAAAAUAUUAAAAUCUAUUUUAAACACUAAAUUAAUAUGUUAUGUACUAACAUAGAAAUAUGUGUAAAAAAGAAAGAUCAAUUAUUGCAAGUUAUAUUCUAAAUAUAAAAUACCAUCUAAGAAAUUUUAAGAAAAUAAAUAAUUUUAUAUAUCUAGAUCAUUAAAAAUAUUAAUAUAUAGAAUCAAUGCCUAAUCAUAUGAUUUUUAUAUGAACAAAAACUUAACAAAAUUUUCAUCACAUAGUUGGAUUAACUUUAUGAAGAAAAAGAAUAAAGAAUCAAUUAGAAUAAUUAAUAAAUUUAAAAUGGUUAAUACUAUUUACUUAUGAAAUCAUAAAAAAUAAUAAGCUCAAAACAUUCUAUAGUCUAAGGGCUAAUCUAUAGUUCAAUUCUGAAAAAAUCCAUGUUUAAAUAACUAAAAUAUAAUGGAAAAGCAUGAAUUAAUGCUUAAUAAGAGCAAAUCAAUUAUGAUAUUUUGUAUUGCUCAUUAUGUACUUUUUCCUAAGAUUAAAAAAAUUGUUACAUGUUGUAGGAAUACAUGCAUGCAUGUAAAGCAUAAAAUUAGAUUAUAUUGUUUAUUUUAUUAUAUAUAUAUAUAUAUAUAUAUAUAUAAUAACUGCUUAAAAGGAUUAAAUCUUAGAAGACUCUUUUAUGGAAACAAGUGAGUUUUUUCUACUAAAUGUCAAUUAAGAUCUAAACUUUUUAAAUAGUUCUGAAAUUUAAUCUAUAGAGAUAUGCUUAAAGAUUAGAUGGGUACAAAAAACAUCGUAUUUAUUGAAGAAGAGAUAUUCAAUAGCCUUCAAUUAAUUUGAGACAAGAUCUCUAAAAUAGAUGUAUUAUAUACAUUGUUAACAAUAAAGAUGACAUUAUCUUUUCUAUAUAUAUAUAUAUAUAAAAUGCAUAUACGACACAACUUCUUGCAUGUAGUUCUUUAAAGGAGGUGAUACAAAACCAGUCAUGUAUUAUCAACUUUUACAAUAUACAUAUGUUGAAAGUCUACAAUUGACUAAAAUUUUAAAACAAACAUAUUCACCAUCUUAUUAUGUGUUUUCUUAACCUCUAUUUAUGUAAUUAUAGAGUUCAUUAAAAAAAAAAAAGUUAUAAUAAUAAAAAUUUCAAUGUUAUAUUCCAAAUUGUGAGUUUGAUAAUACAGUUUAUAUUAUUGAUACAAACAUCCAAACAUGACGAGCCUUACAUUCAUUCAAGAAUUUAGUAUUAUUUUCUUUCAAAAAACUAAUUUCCAACCACUACAUCUAUGUAUUAAAUAAUAAGUUUGAUUUCAUCAAAAAAUUGUCAAUAUUGAUCAAUCAACAAAACAUGUAUAUGAAAGCACAUAACAAAAAAAAUUUGUAUUUCAUUUGGAUGUGAUUUGAAUAAAUUUACAGAUAGCAAUCAAUAAUAUAAAAUAUAUUGUACUUUAAAAAUUAAAAAAUAUUAAAACAAUUGAUUAUUAAUACAUUAUUGUUAAUAAAGAUGUGAUGAUAGAUGCUCCAUCAUGCAUUAUGUAUUUAUAAAAAGAUAUAUAUCAUCAAAUCAAUUAAAACUUUUGUAAGUAAAUUUAGAAUUUUUACUACAAUAAAUUACAAAAAAUCAUAAUUUUUUUCUUUUCUUAUUGUAAGCUAAAAUAAACCUCCACAAAUUGAAAGUUUAUUCUAGUUCACAACAAGUAAAUUAAAUAUGGUAAUCUUAGGACUUUUAGUUUUUAUGUAAAUCUGAAUCAAAUCACUCUUAAACUCUUAAAAUCACUCAAGUGUGAGGUAAAAUAAACCUCCAUUCAUUGGAAGUUUAUCCAAACCUACAACAAGUGAAUUUACUAUGUAAAUGUGAUAAGUUGUAGCUUUUAUUUAAUCUAAUUUAAUUCACUUUUUAACACUCCUUAAAUCACACAAAUAAUCAAGCAAAAUCUCUACUACUAACUCACACUUAUAAUAAUAAGGCACUCCAACAUUCUAUAUAAUUUAAAAAUUAUUAAUAUUAGUAUUUUUAUUUUUAUUUUUUUAAUUUUUUACUUUAAAAAAAAAUCAUUUUUAUUUUAUUUUAUUUUAUUUUAUUUUAAUUUUGAAUUCACAUUCAUCCAUCAAUAAGAAUUUAUCUUUAAAUAAUAAUUCAUCCAUCAAUAAGAAUUUAUCUUUGAAUAAUAAUUCAUCCAAGUAUAAAAAUUUAUCUAUACAAUUUUCAUCCAUUUUUCAUUUUAUUUUUAUUCAACUUCAAUUAUUCAUCCAAACUAGCCUAAUUCAAUCUUAAUCCUAUUUCAUCCAAAUCUACCUAAUUAGCUAGUGUGAACACAUUUGCUAGAAAUCUCAUCAAGUUGGAAGAUUUGGUGUUGCCUUGUUGCGAGUUGAACUUAGAUCCAAUCCUACUACCAAGAUGAUCAGACUUUACACCUCCAUGUUGUAAGGCACUUCAAAGAAAGGAAUGCAAAUGAUGUGGAUUGUCGCCUCGAUGUUGUAAUAGAUCAAGGACACAAUUGAACAUACAACUUAGACUGUGGAGGUUUGCCACCACUUAAUGUAAGAAUCAAGGCUAAGCAAUAAUUUUUUUAAUUUUUAAUUUUUUACGGAAUGCUUAUGUGCUUGUAGUGUUGGCUAGAUUCUAUUUUAUCUAUACCAUCUUCCAAUAUUAAUCGCCACUCACUAUUAUUUACAACAAGUCUUAUUGACUCUAGCUCUAAUGUGCAUGUAUUAGCUCAAUUGUUGAAGUCAACAUAGAGGUUGUUUUGUAGUUCAAAACUACAAUAUCAAGAACAUACUAUAAGCUAAGAUGGUAUUUAGUUUAUACUUAGCUCCCUUGAUUCAACUCAUAAAUUUGAAAGAAGUAAGCUUCUUAAUCUUAGCCUUGAUUUACCUAGGAGAUUACUUAGGAGUUCUUGAGUUCACAGAGGCAGCGUCUCAUACUUUUUAGUUGUUAUAUGCCUUACCGCUUGUCUUUAUUUAGCGCUUAGCCAUGUAGCACUAUUGAAGAAUAAGCAUUGACAUCUUCUUUGUUGUAAUGCUUCAACCUUCAAUACUAUCUCAUUGCAAUUAUUCACAAGGCUAUAACAAAACUAAGGAUACUAGGGUAAUACCAAGUUCAUCAAAGAAUGUGUGUCCAACCACCGUAGUCUUUACUAUUGAUCUUGGUAGUAUUGAUUGAUCAAAAAGGAAGGUCUAGCCUUGAAUUGGCCUUAAUACCAAGUUAAAUCUUUGGUAUUUGGCAUUGAUUUUUUUACACAAAGCGACACAUUGCCACCGAACCACAAAAAAAACAACAGAGGUGCAAGAACCUUAGUCACUAAUUGUAUGGAAGAAUACGUCAAAUCACUGUAAUGUAGCCCAAUAUCUAAGUUGUGAACCAUUGUUGAUGCAAGUUUUAGCCUUUACCAACUACCACUAAUACUAAUGCUUUGGAGUUUGGUGUGGUGUUUCUUUUACAACUAUAGAUGCAAAAUCUUGUUAGUUUCAUUGAAAAUAGUGGCAAUAUUUUUGUUAUUUUUGUGAUCAAUGUGGAGAUCAAAAUCAAUACGUAACUAUGGUGGUACUGUAGAGGAGUUCAAAGUAGCUAUUUUUAUUUUCCUCAACUUGUUGUGUGAGUUGUUAGUUUGAAGAUGAUUGCAAGAAUAUAGUCGAGCGGUGGAACACCAAUGGCUUGCGAUCAAUUGUGGUACAAUUUUUUCUUUUUUUUAAAGAGUACAACGGCAUUGUUCCAUGAUAUCUCUUCAUUUUGUUGCAUCUAGCUGUUAACUUGCUAGCAAUUAGGUAUAUUGAGAGAGUGGAAUUUACUCUUUAUCACAUUGUAGGAUAGAAGGACGUGAUAAUUGUAGUAGAUGUUAACAUGAGGGUUUUUUUUGUUGUGAAGAUCUUAACAUCCUAAACUACAUUAGUUGAAAGUAGAACUAGUUGCAAUUAAUGAUUAGAUAAACAACAAUGAUAACCUACAACCAUCUCGAUGCAUCAUCGAUGUGAUUCUAAAGUUUGGUCUCAUUUUGUUGCUUAAUUAAAAUAUCAACAACAAUAAAAUUAAAAUUCUUGGACCUUCUUUUAAUUUUAGAUAAUAUUAAAAGAAAAUAUUUUAUCUUAAAAGUCCAUCUUGAGAAAUUCUAACAUAGAUUGCAUAUCUACUACUAGUAGUAUAUUUUUCUUAUUUACUUAACAAAUUUACUAUUAACUCACAAUACAUGUGAUUUUAAGUACAAUAAGUGUAUUUUUUGUACUAAAUAUACAAUUGAGUCAAUUUGGUGACUCUUACUUGUCUAUCAUUAAGUAAAUUUAUACUUGUUGAAAUUAAAUCACUAAUAUGCAAAAUUGUUUUACAUGUGUUUUAGUAUAAAAGUAUUUUAUAAUGUGAAAUCUUAAAAUUACUCAUAAUCUACUUACUUUUGGAUAUAUGAUCAUAAAAGUGUCUAAAAUAGAUAUAAAUAAUCAAUUUAUUUGUAAAAAUUAAAAUACAAAGGCUUAUUAAUGGCUAGUUUAUUUAUUUAUUUAUUUAUUUUUCUCUGGUGGACACUAAGAAUCAAUUAGUGUAUGUUUUUUCUAUUGAUAUAAAGCAAGAAAUAAAGAAAGAAAUAGAAAAAUUAAAAUAUAUUAAAAAUAAGUAUUGAAUCUUCCUCGAUUGCUUUGUAUAUCUUUAUUAGAAAAAAGUUUUAAAAUAAUUCAUUGCAUUGCAAGAGUGAUGUUUCAAUCCUCAAACUUGUAAGUCAUAGGCCUACCACACUUUUGCUAUGUAAUUUUAAUAUUGAUACUUUAAUAAAAUUUGGAGUCUAUCUAUUGAAAAACAUUCUAUUGUUAAUAAAUAUAAGUUUUGAGUAUAUAUACCUCUCCAUAUAUAUAUAUAUAUAUAUAUAUAUAUAUAAAAUUAAAUAUAUAUAUUAAUAUAUAGAUGUAUUUAUGUAUAUGAAGUUCUUAAAAAUUGAUGAUUUUUAUAUAUUAUAAUAAACUAUUGUGUUCAAAAUAUACUUUUCUUGCAUACAUAUAUAGAACAAAUAAAUUAAGGAAUAACCUCUUGUAGAUAUCCAAAUAUUCACCUUCUUCAAUUGAUUUUUAACAUAGGCUCUUUAUAUGUAUUUUAAUUUUAGAAUGUAUAAUUAUUUUUUAUAAUAAUAAAAGUUUUUAUUAAAAUAGAAACUACUAAAUUCAUCAUAAAUUCCAUAUUAAUUAUUUUAAAUAAGAAUAUUUAUUAUAAUUUUUGAAUAAAAUUCAAUAAAAAAAAUAUAAUACUAAUUUUUGACUUAUUAAUUUAAAUAUAUAAUUAUUCUACUUUUAUAAAAAUAAUCUAUUAAUAAUUAUAUGUAAUAUUUCUUUUAUUUAAUUAAGAUAAGACAAUUUUAGCAAGAUAUUUGAUAAGUCUUGUUGUUCUAAGACAAUAUGUAACAUAAAGUACAAAUUUUGACAAACAGAUGCUCCAACAAUCUUAAUAAUAAUUUAAAGCACAUAUUAAUAUAAGAAACUCUAUAUAUUUUUGUGAUUAGUGAAAUAUAUGAAUAUAAUAGAAAUAAAUACUUGCACUAUAUUCCUAUAUCAAAGACAUGAUUUAUAAACAAUAAAAAUCUCAAUACAUACUUAUGUCAUCCAAAAGAAUAGAUAUUUACUCAAAAGUUAUAUAGUAUAAAAACUAAUAUGGCUAUUGCUAAAGAAAAGAAGAUUAGAUACUCUUAAAAUAAGACUAAAAAUAUGAAUAGCAUUGAUAAGACUUUAAAAAGGCUUUACACUUGCCUCCAUAUAUAUUAUCUAACUAGGAGCUACAUGGCAGUGUACUAAAAGACCUCCAAUACACGUUCAACUUGCAAAACAAAUAUCUAACUUGCAAGACAAGUUUCCUACAUGUACGCUGUCUUGUUGUAGUACGAGUAUACCAUGAAAAUAUAAAGAAAGGGGACUUUUAUUAAUAUUCACUUACCUCGAAUAUUGGAAGCAACGACCAAUUCCAGUGCCAAUAUUCAGGGGCCAGUUCAAAGACCCCGUCACAGUCGGUCAGGGCAUACUUACUAGUAACGAAAUGCUCCGUUCGAGUCCAAUAGUCGGAGUCAACAGAAUCGAAAGGACUAAAUCUAUGACUAAGCGAGCCUGACACGAAGGACCAAUUUGACCCAAUUACGGGAACAUCCAAGUCUUACUACGGGCUUCUUAGCCAAUAUGAGACCUAAAUUGGUCGGGCGACUCAAUGUGGUCCUGAUUAUGGGGGUUUCGAUUCUAUUUUAGGCUCUCUUGUUCUGUGUGCUGUUUCAGGGAAUGUUGUUUCCAGAAAAAAAACCUUUUAAAAGGCAAAAAAUGGAGGAGAAAGCUUUGAAGGCGGAGCCAAUUUCGGAUCUAAGACGGAAGAUUGAAGAAAUUCAGAGGCUAGGGUUUGAAAGAGGAGAGAAUUAAGGUUAAAGGGGAGGAUAGGUAAAGAAAUGAAAGGGAGAGAAUAAGAGUUUUUAAGGGUCCGAGAGCUAGCUUCAUGCUUCGGGGAGGAUAGAGGGGGGGGGGGGGAGAGAGAGAGGGGGAGAAAACUGAGAAUUGGGGUUUUUUUUUUUCUUCAUAGGGUUUUGGGAAGACUGAGGCAAUCGUUGCUAAAAUUCAGUGUUGUACUAGUGAAUCGAGGUUUUAAUGAAGUGGGUGUGAUUACUCUUGACUGUUUUGUGAAAUUGAAGUUACGUCUGUGAUUGAAGAAUUAAAAGGGUGUCUAUAGGAUUGAGUAUGCAGAGUGAAUGAAAAUUUUUCGGUUAAUCUAACAAGACAGUCAGUGGAUACAAAGUCGUGAGUAUAAAGCGAUAUCGGAGAUUAGCAGAUUGGGUUGUUCAGGGUUCUGUGUAGCAUCUAGAGACCUAUCGGCUGGGGCGAAAAGGAUUUUGGCGAGCAGUCAAAGGACAUCCGUAUAGAUUUAUGAUAUAUUCUUGUAAUUGUUUAUAUUCGAACAGUCAAAAACCGAUAGACUGCUUGAAUAUUAGCGAAUCUCCAUACUACCUUCUAUAGCCAAACGCCCGGCGCGUUCUCAAGCAGGAAAGCAUGUAAUACGACAAUGCCACAUGGCUAACUUGUACUACAAAUUGCCAACAUGUGUGAUGCAUAGCCAACAUAUUGGCUCAAUUCUUAACCUAUCAAUCAACUACAAACACGUAAAAUAUUUAAUCCAUGUCUAUGAAGCUUUUAAGAAGCUUCUCUAUAAGAUAUUAUCAAAUUUAUCUCCAUUUUUCUUCUACAUAAUACUUCUUAUCUAAGUAAUUAUAUGUGCCUAUGAUAGCUAAAUAUUUAAUAGCCUAUUAAUACUAAAUAUUUUUAUAAGUUUUUAUUGUAAAUUAUACAAAUCUUAAAAAUUAGAGCAUCAUAUGACAUUUUUAUGUUUUUGUGUCAUGCAAAUGUAAUUAAUUUCCAAACUCUUUGAAGGUCAAAAAAUCCUCCACUCAUUACAUCUAAAUAAUAAAUAUGUCAAACUUGUAAGAAAUUCACUAAAUAUGAGAUAAACAAUACUUUGUGAAUUUGUGGUUAUUAGACGGCUCCAAAGUUUUAAAUCACAUCAUUCACAUAUUGCAUGAUAGCAAGCAUGUGUGUCUUGUCAUUCCAACAUUUAAAAAUAUUUCUAAUUCUACUACAUAGUUAUAGUAGCAAUAGAUAAAUAGUAGAUAAUGUGGUUAUCACUUCCAAGGUUGAAUUUGAGAUCAUGAAUAUUAAUAAAUUGUCAAAAUACCAACCUCAUAAUUGUAUGGUUAGUCUUGAAGGAGGUCAACUAUCUCUUGGACCAAUCUACUACUUGUUACAUUCCAACUUCUAAUAUUUUUUUAUAAUAUACUAACAAAAGUUUUAGGUGGAUACCUCCCUUCUAUUGCUUGGACACCCACAUGUGCGAUGUUUUCCAGCAUACACACAAUAAUAUCAUUGUCAUAUUAUCAUUAUAUAUUUUAUAACCUAUAACCCCUAAAAUGGUCCAAACAGUUCAAACUAGGUGGGGUAUGAAACAUGCAUAUGUACACUUUUAAAGCAAAAAAUAUCAAAAAAGCAUAUUGGUCAAAAGUUAUUUUUUUAAUUGUUGUGUUGUAUUACAUAUUAAAUUAUAUUUGAUUUUUUUUUUAUAGUACAUAUUAUUAAAAUUUAUAGAUUUAGGAAUUAUAGGCCAUAAAAUGUAAAAUAAUCAUACUAAUGCAUGAAUGAAAGGAUAUUCGGCACAUUGGAGGGAGAGGUGUCCACAUAAUAAAAGGAGGUGUCUACCUGGCAAGUCUCUAAACCAACACACCACAAUCUUUAAAACUAAAAAAUAAUUUAAAAAAUAAUAUAAAUAUAUUUUUAAAGUCUAUAAGUAAAGGAAAUUGUAUAAGCAAGUAAUUCUAGCUUGGUGGUGGAUAGUCUAAGGCUGGAAUUUUAAAUUCGUUCAAUAUUGUAAACUUCAUUUUUAUUCAAGAUAGUAUAUUCUUCAUGAGAAUGUAGAUGUUAGUAUGAGGACAAGAUACAAAUUCAAAAUUUUGAUAUUGUUGGAUACAAUAAUGAAAGCAACAAAAACCUUAUUUUCCACAAUUAAUGAAUUAUAAAAAAGAACAAAGCAAAAUGAAUACUUUUCUCCAAAUAAAACUACUAUAUAUAUAUAUAUAUAUAUAUAUAUAUAUAAAGAAAAAAUAUACAUUUGUGUACAAAAUUGAAGUAAUAAUGAAGUAACUGAAUUCUUGUAUGCUAAAGUGCAACAAUAAAUAAAUAAAUAAAAUAAUCUAGAUCAUCAACUUUAAUUUUCAUCAUUGACUCUCUAUUUUCUCUGUGUAGAAAAAAAUUUGAAAUACUGUAAAAGUCUUCAUCAUUUAUACUAGCUCCAAAUGUAGACAAAAACUUGAUUGUGGAAUAAUUUUCAUGAAAUGGUAUUCAUUAAAUAUAAGCACCAAACGUGGAUGAAAUUUUUACAAAAACACAUAUGGAUGUUUUUUUUGCCUCACAAACUCAAAUAUUAUUUGAUGUGUUUAUGAAUGUAUCAUUACAAUAUUACAUGAAAAUGUGGGAUAUUAUCAAAUGAGAUUUGUAGAUACAAAUUUAAUUAUGAGAUUGCAAAUACAAAGCAAGCACAAACUCCUUUUGUUGAGAAUUGGUUGAAAAGUGGAUUGGAUGAAUCGACGCAUGUGGGAUAAAUAAGGUGAUUAGCAAAAGCAUGAUUUGGACAUUGCUACAUGUAAGGAGCCAAUGGAAAAAAAUCAAGUGAAUAGGGCGUGCAUUUGCAUAUGUACUAGAAGUUAUUUAUAUGUUUGUUUCACGUGUGGGUGUGAGAGAGAUACCAAUUGAAACCAACAAUCCAUCACAAUAUGUGUAGGGACAAGCACCAAAAUUAACAACGCCAAGAUAUACACAUAAACACACGAAGUCCACGUCGAUCAGUAGUAGAAUAAUAUUUUGUACUAGUACUUGAAACUGUUUCGAGGUGUCAAAAUCAGAGUGGCGCAGCGGAAGCGUGGUGGGCCCAUAACCCACAGGUCCGAGGAUCGAAACCUCGCUCUGAUAGUGCAGAGAACAUUGCUUCCGUGAUGUUUUUAUGGAUGCUCUCCACAAGUUUUCGAGACGGACCUUUGACAGCAACUGUCGGUAUUACCAUGAAAGAGACUUAUGAUUUUGCCAAAGAGAGGGACCUGUGAUUGAAAUCUUUGGGGUAAAUGUUUUUCAUCACAAGGGAUCUCGGUAUUAUCCUGUACAGUUCAAGAACGACUUCCGAGAAUUCUUAACCGGCAUAUAAAUAUUAAAUUUGAGGCACGGCUGUGAUUGGAAAAUUGAGAAAUGGGCCACGCAGAAAUGAAUCUGAGCAGCAUGAUCUAAAAGAAUGAGGCCGUGCUUCUAUUCGCAGAUAUGACAGCUGGAUGGAAAAAUUGCAGAAAAUCACAUUCAUCGAUUGAGAGGCCACACCGGCUUCAUUCACACGAUCGUCAAGAAUAUUAUCCAAGGGCCGUCCCAGCACUGCGCAGAUUCAGGUGAGACUAAAAAAUAUCAUAAAAUCAAAUUCAGCGCAGACUCUAGCAAAGAACUUAAAAUCGAACAGAAGCAAGCAGCGCAACCGACACCAAUCGUAUAAUCCGUCACAAGUGCUCCUGUACCCAGCACAGAAUGAUGAAAUAGAUUGCCAGAAAAAUGUGUGCCAUUGACACCACAGGUAAUUUAGUGCAGAGGACAAAUGAAACCAUGCAAACAAUGGACCACAACGAAAGAGUUGUUGAAACUAAAAGCGCCAUAGGCUUUGGGGCGUGCAGUGGUGGAGGGGAUGUAAAGGGAGGGAGGGUACGCAGCGGACAUCUGGGCGGGGUAGCGUCCGCUUGUAACCCAAUCGCGGGGGAAGGAGGGUGAGGAUGUGGGGCGCCGGGUAAGGGCCUGCGGAGGCGUGUGGAGGGCCUGCCCACUCCAAGCACGGAGUCGCUAGUGGGAUCUCGCCGGAGGGUGGGGUUGCGCGGGCGAUAGUGAGGGGGGCACCGCGUCAGGCGGGCAACCGAGCAGCGUUCACUCCCCGCUCUGUGUAGUGGAGGGAUAACGGGUCUGAAUGUUCUGCGCAGAUCACCCUGUCCGGCAUGCAUCCACAUACCAUCUUCCGUUUUGUCACCCUUUCAUCCUGAUUAUGUUUGACAAGUGGACAAGAAUAAUAAUUCCUUUUUCUUUUCUUUUUAAGUUUCAUAUUAUUUUGCGGACUAUCCACCUAUAAACUAUCAUUUUUUUUUUCUUCCAACAUUAAUGCUUUCUUUCAAAAAGAGAGUGGAUUGCUCUCAUCUUUGAAAAAUAAUUCAUUUGAUACACAAGCUUGCAAAUUAUCCUUCUCUUAUUUAACUUCUAGAUAUAUUAAAUUAAUUUAUUAUAUAAAUAAAAUAAAUAGUUAUGAAUGCUAAACUUUGUGGAAGUGAGAAUAUAUUUGCAACUAUUACAAAUUUUUAUAGACUUGUCAACAUUCUUUGGAUGAAAAUUUCACAUAUUAUCAACCUUAAUUAUAGAAGUACUAUUUCUACACCUAUGGAAGAAGUUAACAAUAAAGUCCAAUGUCUACACUAUGAAUUUGUGUAGUUUAGAGAAACAUAAAUGUUAAUGUGUCUUCUAAUAGAACUAUUCCAAAAGGCAAGUCAGAUGCCAAUGCACCACAAUCAAAUAAGGUUUUUCUUGACAUACUCAUAGCAGUUGCUACAAAUGUGAUUGAAAUGAAUUCUUUCCUUCCAUCACUAGUAGGCCAUCUUGGUCAAAUCCAUACUUCUUCAGUCCAAUUAUUUGGACCAAAACCAAAUAGAUAAUGGGCUUGUUGAUCCACUAAAAUAUUAUAGUUGGUGACAUUAGUCACUGCAUACUUUAGAAACAAGUGUGAAUAAAGUGGACUAGAUCCAAUGCAAAAUAUUAAUUGCAAAGGUUGCUUGGUAUAGCCGGUAGCUUGCUCCAUGCUCCCUACUAAAGUGACAAUGGUAAAAGGACAAGGUUCCAAGUCUAUGGGAGUGAGACCUUGCUUUGUAUGGUAGAGGGAUAACAGGCUUGAAUGUUCUAUGCAAAUCACCCUACCUGGCAUGCAUCCACAUACCAUCUUUUCUUUUGACACAAAUAAAGUGAAGAUUGUCAAAGAGAAAUAAAGUAAUGCAACAAUUGGCUACAAAUUCUAAUAAAUUUUUUUUAAAAAAAAAAUAUAUAUAUAUAUAUAUAUAUAUAACUAAAAAAUUAUUUGAAGUACAUUAGAAGAAAGAAGAAUUGAAACCAACUAAAUAUUUGAUUAGCAAGUAACUUCCAAUUGGCUACUUUUAGUGAUGUGUUGAUUUUUUAAAACGUUCUUAAAGAAAUAAAAGCUUUAGAUGUAGAAGUAGAUGUUCAUGUCAAAAUAUUCCUUUAAUCUCAUCAUGUAAUUAUUAUCUUUUUUCUAAACUUAAAAUAUUCUCUUUAUGAUUAUCAUAAUUAAAUAGUAUAAGUAGGAAUAAAAAACUAAUGGUCGCUUAAAUAAAUAACUAUAUAUUCAGAGCAUGUGCUUUUAUUCUAAAAAUAAUUUAAAAUCAUAGAAUUAGGUACAUUUUGCUUUUAUGUAUGUUUUAUUUGUGAAAUUUAAAAUUUGAUCUUGAAUAAUGUGGUAAUUAAAUAUUCUUACAACCAAAUGUUUUAGUCUAAAAAAUUAAAAUUUGAAAAAAGACAAAAUAAUAGUUUGUGAGAAUAGAAACUUAAAAAUAAAAAUCAAUGUUUAAAAAAUAAUGAAAAAAAUUUAAUACGAAGAAAUUUUGCUACAAAUAAUUUUUAUUUACAUGUAGGCAUGUUUGGUGAAAUCUAUUCAUAUACUUAAGAAAAUGGUAAGUAAUUUCUUAUUGGCUAGUACAUCAAAAUUGAUAAGCUCUAAACUAAUCCAUAGCAUAUGUUGCAAAGUAAAUAAGAAAUGUAGUCUUGAUUUAAUUUACUUAGAAGAAGCUCUAAAAACUUUGUUAUUAAAUUAAACAAUCAAAAAAAAUUAAUAUAAAAAAUAAUAUUUUAUAUUUUUUUAUCACACAAAACAUAACUAAAGUUUCAAUAAAAAGCUAUUAUAGCUAGUAGUUUAAUUUAUCUUUGAUUUGUGCCUCAAAUCUUUUUUUAAAUUUAAAAACUAGAAAAAGAAUUAAAAAGGCCUAGGCUAAAAUGAUAAUUUAUUAAAAGUUAGAAUUGCCGAAUUAAUUUUAAAAUAUGAAAACUAAUCAUGGUAAAAGAAUUUAGUUUGAACCAUUUUACAUCUAGACAUCUUAACAUCUAGUUUUAAAGUGUAGCUGAAAUACUAUAAAUAUAAAAUGCAAAGAACUAAGGAUUUUUUUAGAUUCCAUACACAAUACAAUUUUACAACAAUGGAAGCUAAAAUAGAAUAAAGUCUUUAAAUAAAAAAUUAUUAAUCAUGAUAAUAUAUCAUAUUCACUUAUUCAAAACUCUUACUAUUCUCUCAUCCAAACAUAUAGCACCUUGGUAAAAAAACUCUUUGCAUUUGCUUGCUAAAGUACACAUCUUGAAUUCAUAACAAGAAGUCUUUAUAAGACCCUUAGACUAUGCUGCACAAUUUUGUGAGCUGCAUGCCGUUCAUUUUGCAAACUCUUCUAAAGUGCACAAAAAUUGUUUUGUCAUUGCAGCAAAGAAACUAAGUUUGUUUUACUAAAACAAUACCCCAAAUUAGAAUUAUAAUUGGUGGCUAAACUCUUCUAUCAAUAGUAUGUAGUAUUCUACAUUGUUGUAUUAAUGGACAACAACAUUAGACUGCAGUACUAAUAUAGGUGAAAAAAUAUUAAAAUCUAUUUUAAACACUAAAUUAAUAUGUUAUGUACUAACAUAGAAAUAUGUGUAAAAAAGAAAGAUCAAUUAUUGCAAGUUAUAUUCUAAAUAUAAAAUACCAUCUAAGAAAUUUUAAGAAAAUAAAUAAUUUUAUAUAUCUAGAUCAUUAAAAAUAUUAAUAUAUAGAAUCAAUGCCUAAUCAUAUGAUUUUUAUAUGAACAAAAACUUAACAAAAUUUUCAUCACAUAGUUGGAUUAACUUUAUGAAGAAAAAGAAUAAAGAAUCAAUUAGAAUAAUUAAUAAAUUUAAAAUGGUUAAUACUAUUUACUUAUGAAAUCAUAAAAAAUAAUAAGCUCAAAACAUUCUAUAGUCUAAGGGCUAAUCUAUAGUUCAAUUCUGAAAAAAUCCAUGUUUAAAUAACUAAAAUAUAAUGGAAAAGCAUGAAUUAAUGCUUAAUAAGAGCAAAUCAAUUAUGAUAUUUUGUAUUGCUCAUUAUGUACUUUUUCCUAAGAUUAAAAAAAUUGUUACAUGUUGUAGGAAUACAUGCAUGCAUGUAAAGCAUAAAAUUAGAUUAUAUUGUUUAUUUUAUUAUAUAUAUAUAUAUAUAUAUAUAUAUAUAUAAUAACUGCUUAAAAGGAUUAAAUCUUAGAAGACUCUUUUAUGGAAACAAGUGAGUUUUUUCUACUAAAUGUCAAUUAAGAUCUAAACUUUUUAAAUAGUUCUGAAAUUUAAUCUAUAGAGAUAUGCUUAAAGAUUAGAUGGGUACAAAAAACAUCGUAUUUAUUGAAGAAGAGAUAUUCAAUAGCCUUCAAUUAAUUUGAGACAAGAUCUCUAAAAUAGAUGUAUUAUAUACAUUGUUAACAAUAAAGAUGACAUUAUCUUUUCUAUAUAUAUAUAUAUAUAAAAUGCAUAUACGACACAACUUCUUACAUGUAGUUCUUUAAAGGAGGUGAUACAAAACCAGUCAUGUAUUAUCAACUUUUACAAUAUACAUAUGUUGAAAGUCUACAAUUGACUAAAAUUUUAAAACAAACAUAUUCACCAUCUUAUUAUGUGUUUUCUUAACCUCUAUUUAUGUAAUUAUAGAGUUCAUUAAAAAAAAAAAAGUUAUAAUAAUAAAAAUUUCAAUGUUAUAUUCCAAAUUGUGAGUUUGAUAAUACAGUUUAUAUUAUUGAUACAAACAUCCAAACAUGACGAGCCUUACAUUCAUUCAAGAAUUUAGUAUUAUUUUCUUUCAAAAAACUAAUUUCCAACCACUACAUCUAUGUAUUAAAUAAUAAGUUUGAUUUCAUCAAAAAAUUGUCAAUAUUGAUCAAUCAACAAAACAUGUAUAUGAAAGCACAUAACAAAAAAAAUUUGUAUUUCAUUUGGAUGUGAUUUGAAUAAAUUUACAGAUAGCAAUCAAUAAUAUAAAAUAUAUUGUACUUUAAAAAUUAAAAAAUAUUAAAACAAUUGAUUAUUAAUACAUUAUUGUUAAUAAAGAUGUGAUGAUAGAUGCUCCAUCAUGCAUUAUGUAUUUAUAAAAAGAUAUAUAUCAUCAAAUCAAUUAAAACUUUUGUAAGUAAAUUUAGAAUUUUUACUACAAUAAAUUACAAAAAAUCAUAAUUUUUUUCUUUUCUUAUUGUAAGCUAAAAUAAACCUCCACAAAUUGAAAGUUUAUUCUAGUUCACAACAAGUAAAUUAAAUAUGGUAAUCUUAGGACUUUUAGUUUUUAUGUAAAUCUGAAUCAAAUCACUCUUAAACUCUUAAAAUCACUCAAGUGUGAGGUAAAAUAAACCUCCAUUCAUUGGAAGUUUAUCCAAACCUACAACAAGUGAAUUUACUAUGUAAAUGUGAUAAGUUGUAGCUUUUAUUUAAUCUAAUUUAAUUCACUUUUUAACACUCCUUAAAUCACACAAAUAAUCAAGCAAAAUCUCUACUACUAACUCACACUUAUAAUAAUAAGGCACUCCAACAUUCUAUAUAAUUUAAAAAUUAUUAAUAUUAGUAUUUUUAUUUUUAUUUUUUUAAUUUUUUACUUUAAAAAAAAAUCAUUUUUAUUUUAUUUUAUUUUAUUUUAUUUUAAUUUUGAAUUCACAUUCAUCCAUCAAUAAGAAUUUAUCUUUAAAUAAUAAUUCAUCCAUCAAUAAGAAUUUAUCUUUGAAUAAUAAUUCAUCCAAGUAUAAAAAUUUAUCUAUACAAUUUUCAUCCAUUUUUUAUUUUAUUUUUAUUCAACUUCAAUUAUUCAUCCAAACUAGCCUAAUUCAAUCUUAAUCCUAUUUCAUCCAAAUCUACCUAAUUAGCUAGUGUGAACACAUUUGCUAGAAAUCUCAUCAAGUUGGAAGAUUUGGUGUUGCCUUGUUGCGAGUUGAACUUAGAUCCAAUCCUACUACCAAGAUGAUCAGACUUUACACCUCCAUGUUGUAAGGCACUUCAAAGAAAGGAAUGCAAAUGAUGUGGAUUAUCGCCUCGAUGUUGUAAUAGAUCAAGGACACAAUUGAACAUACAACUUAGACUGUGGAGGUUUGCCACCACUUAAUGUAAGAAUCAAGGCUAAGCAAUAAUUUUUUUAAUUUUUAAUUUUUUACGGAAUGCUUAUGUGCUUGUAGUGUUGGCUAGAUUCUAUUUUAUCUAUACCAUCUUCCAAUAUUAAUCGCCACUCACUAUUAUUUACAACAAGUCUUAUUGACUCUAGCUCUAAUGUGCAUGUAUUAGCUCAAUUGUUGAAGUCAACAUAGAGGUUGUUUUGUAGUUCAAAACUACAAUAUCAAGAACAUACUAUAAGCUAAGAUGGUAUUUAGUUUAUACUUAGCUCCCUUGAUUCAACUCAUAAAUUUGAAAGAAGUAAGCUUCUUAAUCUUAGCCUUGAUUUACCUAGGAGAUUACUUAGGAGUUCUUGAGUUCACAGAGGCAGCGUCUCAUACUUUUUAGUUAUUAUAUGCCUUACCGCUUGUCUUUAUUUAGCGCUUAGCCAUGUAGCACUAUUGAAGAAUAAGCAUUGACAUCUUCUUUGUUGUAAUGCUUCAACCUUCAAUACUAUCUCAUUGCAAUUAUUCACAAGGCUAUAACAAAACUAAGGAUACUAGGGUAAUACCAAGUUCAUCAAAGAAUGUGUGUCCAACCACCGUAGUCUUUACUAUUGAUCUUGGUAGUAUUGAUUGAUCAAAAAGGAAGGUCUAGCCUUGAAUUGGCCUUAAUACCAAGUUAAAUCUUUGGUAUUUGGCAUUGAUUUUUUUACACAAAGCGACACAUUGCCACCGAACCACAAAAAAAACAACAGAGGUGCAAGAACCUUAGUCACUAAUUGUAUGGAAGAAUACGUCAAAUCACCGUAAUGUAGCCCAAUAUCUAAGUUGUGAACCAUUGUUGAUGCAAGUUUUAGCCUUUACCAACUACCACUAAUACUAAUGCUUUGGAGUUUGGUGUGGUGUUUCUUUUACAACUAUAGAUGCAAAAUCUUGUUAGUUUCAUUGAAAAUAGUGGCAAUAUUUUUGUUAUUUUUGUGAUCAAUGUGGAGAUCAAAAUCAAUACGUAACUAUGGUGGUACUGUAGAGGAGUUCAAAGUAGCUAUUUUUAUUUUCCUCAACUUGUUGUGUGAGUUGUUAGUUUGAAGAUGAUUGCAAGAAUAUAGUCGAGCGGUGGAACACCAAUGGCUUGCGAUCAAUUGUGGUACAAUUUUUUCUUUUUUUUAAAGAGUACAACGGCAUUGUUCCAUGAUAUCUCUUCAUUUUGUUGCAUCUAGCUGUUAACUUGCUAGCAAUUAGGUAUAUUGAGAGAGUGGAAUUUACUCUUUAUCACAUUGUAGGAUAGAAGGACGUGAUAAUUGUAGUAGAUGUUAACAUGAGGGUUUUUUUUGUUGUGAAGAUCUUAACAUCCUAAACUACAUUAGUUGAAAGUAGAACUAGUUGCAAUUAAUGAUUAGAUAAACAACAAUGAUAACCUACAACCAUCUCGAUGCAUCAUCGAUGUGAUUCUAAAGUUUGGUCUCAUUUUGUUGCUUAAUUAAAAUAUCAACAACAAUAAAAUUAAAAUUCUUGGACCUUCUUUUAAUUUUAGAUAAUAUUAAAAGAAAAUAUUUUAUCUUAAAAGUCCAUCUUGAGAAAUUCUAACAUAGAUUGCAUAUCUACUACUAGUAGUAUAUUUUUCUUAUUUACUUAACAAAUUUACUAUUAACUCACAAUACAUGUGAUUUUAAGUACAAUAAGUGUAUUUUUUGUACUAAAUAUACAAUUGAGUCAAUUUGGUGACUCUUACUUGUCUAUCAUUAAGUAAAUUUAUACUUGUUGAAAUUAAAUCACUAAUAUGCAAAAUUGUUUUACAUGUGUUUUAGUAUAAAAGUAUUUUAUAAUGUGAAAUCUUAAAAUUACUCAUAAUCUACUUACUUUUGGAUAUAUGAUCAUAAAAGUGUCUAAAAUAGAUAUAAAUAAUCAAUUUAUUUGUAAAAAUUAAAAUACAAAGGCUUAUUAAUGGCUAGUUUAUUUAUUUAUUUAUUUAUUUUUCUCUGGUGGACACUAAGAAUCAAUUAGUGUAUGUUUUUUCUAUUGAUAUAAAGCAAGAAAUAAAGAAAGAAAUAGAAAAAUUAAAAUAUAUUAAAAAUAAGUAUUGAAUCUUCCUCGAUUGCUUUGUAUAUCUUUAUUAGAAAAAAGUUUUAAAAUAAUUCAUUGCAUUGCAAGAGUGAUGUUUCAAUCCUCAAACUUGUAAGUCAUAGGCCUACCACACUUUUGCUAUGUAAUUUUAAUAUUGAUACUUUAAUAAAAUUUGGAGUCUAUCUAUUGAAAAACAUUCUAUUGUUAAUAAAUAUAAGUUUUGAGUAUAUAUACCUCUCCAUAUAUAUAUAUAUAUAUAUAUAUAUAUAUAUAUAUAUAAAAUUAAAUAUAUAUAUUUAUAUAUAGAUGUAUUUACGUAUAUGAAGUUCUUAAAAAUUGAUGAUUUUUAUAUAUUAUAAUAAACUAUUGUGUUCAAAAUAUACUUUUCUUGCAUACAUAUAUAGAACAAAUAAAUUAAGGAAUAACCUCUUGUAGAUAUCCAAAUAUUCACCUUCUUCAAUUGAUUUUUAACAUAGGCUCUUUAUAUGUAUUUUAAUUUUAGAAUGUAUAAUUAUUUUUUAUAAUAAUAAAAGUUUUUAUUAAAAUAGAAACUACUAAAUUCAUCAUAAAUUCCAUAUUAAUUAUUUUAAAUAAGAAUAUUUAUUAUAAUUUUUGAAUAAAAUUCAAUAAAAAAAAUAUAAUACUAAUUUUUGACUUAUUAAUUUAAAUAUAUAAUUAUUCUACUUUUAUAAAAAUAAUCUAUUAAUAAUUAUAUGUAAUAUUUCUUUUAUUUAAUUAAGAUAAGACAAUUUUAGCAAGAUAUUUGAUAAGUCUUGUUGUUCUAAGACAAUAUGUAACAUAAAGUACAAAUUUUGACAAACAGAUGCUCCAACAAUCUUAAUAAUAAUUUAAAGCACAUAUUAAUAUAAGAAACUCUAUAUAUUUUUGUGAUUAGUGAAAUAUAUGAAUAUAAUAGAAAUAAAUACUUGCACUAUAUUCCUAUAUCAAAGACAUGAUUUAUAAACAAUAAAAAUCUCAAUACAUACUUAUGUCAUCCAAAAGAAUAGAUAUUUACUCAAAAGUUAUAUAGUAUAAAAACUAAUAUGGCUAUUGCUAAAGAAAAGAAGAUUAGAUACUCUUAAAAUAAGACUAAAAAUAUGAAUAGCAUUGAUAAGACUUUAAAAAGGCUUUACACUUGCCUCCAUAUAUAUUAUCUAACUAGGAGCUACAUGGCAGUGUACUAAAAGACCUCCAAUACACGUUCAACUUGCAAAACAAAUAUCUAACUUGCAAGACAAGUUUCCUACAUGUACGCUGUCUUGUUGUAGUACGAGUAUACCAUGAAAAUAUAAAGAAAGGGGACUUUUAUUAAUAUUCACUUACCUCGAAUAUUGGAAGCAACGACCAAUUCCAGUGCCAAUAUUCAGGGGCCAGUUCAAAGACCCCAUCACAGUCGGUCAGGGCAUACUUACUAGUAACGAAAUGCUCCGUUCGAGUCCAAUAGUCGGAGUCAACAGAAUCGAAAGGACUAAAUCUAUGACUAAGCGAGCCUGACACGAAGGACCAAUUUGACCCAAUUACGGGAACAUCCAAGUCUUACUACGGGCCUCUUAGCCAAUAUGAGACCUAAAUUGGUCGGGCGACUCAAUGUGGUCCUGAUUAUGGGGGUUUCGAUUCUAUUUUAGGCUCUCUUGUUCUCUGUGCUGUUUCAAGGAACGUUGUUUCCAGAAAAAAAAACCUUUUAAAAGGCAAAAAAUGGAGGAGAAAGCUUUGACGGCGGAGCCAAUUUCGGAUCUAAGACGGAAGAUUGAAGAAAUUCAGAGGCUAGGGUUUGAAAGAGGAGAGAAUUAAGGUUAAAGGGGAGGAUAGGUAAAGAAAUGAAAGGGAGAGAAUAAGAGUUUUUAAGGGUCCGAGAGCUAGCUUCAUGCUUCGGGGAGGAUAGAGGGGGGGUGGAGGGGGGGAGAAAACUGAGAAUUGGGGUUUUUUUUUUUCUUCAUAGGGUUUUGAAAGACUGAGGCAAUCGUUGCUAAAAUUCAGUGUUGUACUAGUGAAUCGAGGUUUUAAUGAAGUGGGUGUGAUUACUCUUGACUGUUUUGUGAAAUUGAAGUUACGUCUGUGAUUGAAGAAUUAAAAGGGUGUCUAUAGGAUUGAGUAUGCAGAGUGAAUGAAAAUUUUUCGGUUAAUCUAACAAGACAGUCAGUAGAUACAAAGUCGUGAGUAGAAAGCGAUAUCGGAGAUUAGCAGAUUGGGUUGUUCAGGGUUCUGUGUAGCAUCUAGAGACCUAUCGGCUGGGGCGAAAAGGAUUUUGGCGAGCAGUCAAAGGACAUCCGUAUAGAUUUAUGAUAUAUUCUUGUAAUUGUUUAUAUUCCAACAAUCAAAAACCGAUAGACUGCUUGAAUAUUAGCGAAUCUCCAUACUACCUUCUAUAGCCAAACGCCCGGCGCGUUCUCAAGCAGGAAAGCAUGUAAUACGACAAUGCCACAUGGCUAACUUGUACUACAAAUUGCCAACAUGUGUGAUGCAUAGCCAACAUAUUGGCUCAAUUCUUAACCUAUCAAUCAACUACAAACACGUAAAAUAUUUAAUCCAUGUCUAUGAAGCUUUUAAGAAGCUUCUCUAUAAGAUAUUAUCAAAUUUAUCUCCAUUUUUCUUCUACAUAAUACUUCUUAUCUAAGUAAUUAUAUGUGCCUAUGGUAGCUAAAUAUUUAAUAGCCUAUUAAUACUAAAUAUUUUUAUAAGUUUUUAUUGUAAAUUAUACAAAUCUUAAAAAUUAGAGCAUCAUAUGACAUUUUUAUGUUUUUGUGUCAUGCAAAUGUAAUUAAUUUCCAAACUCUUUGAAGGUCAAAAAAUCCUCCACUCAUUACAUCUAAAUAAUAAAUAUGUCAAACUUGUAAGAAAUUCACUAAAUAUGAGAUAAACAAUACUUUGUGAAUUUGUGGUUAUUAGACGGCUCCAAAGUUUUAAAUCACAUCAUUCACAUAUUGCAUGAUAGCAAGCAUGUGUGUCUUGUCAUUCCAACAUUUAAAAAUAUUUCUAAUUCUACUACAUAGUUAUAGUAGCAAUAGAUAAAUAGUAGAUAAUGUGGUUAUCACUUCCAAGGUUGAAUUUGAGAUCAUGAAUAUUAAUAAAUUGUCAAAAUACCAACCUCAUAAUUGUAUGGUUAGUCUUGAAGGAGGUCAACUAUCUCUUGGACCAAUCUACUACUUGUUACAUUCCAACUUCUAAUAUUUUUUUAUAAUAUACUAACAAAAGUUUUAGGUGGAUACCUCCCUUCUAUUGCUUGGACACCCACAUGUGCGAUGUUUUCCAGCAUACACACAAUAAUAUCAUUGUCAUAUUAUCAUUAUAUAUUUUAUAACCUAUAACCCCUAAAAUGGUCCAAACAGUUCAAACUAGGUGGGGUAUGAAACAUGCAUAUGUACACUUUUAAAGCAAAAAAUAUCAAAAAAGCAUAUUGGUCAAAAGUUAUUUUUUUAAUUGUUGUGUUGUAUUACAUAUUAAAUUAUAUUUGAUUUUUUUUUUAUAGUACAUAUUAUUAAAAUUUAUAGAUUUAGGAAUUAUAGGCCAUAAAAUGUAAAAUAAUCAUACUAAUGCAUGAAUGAAAGGAUAUUCGGCACAUUGGAGGGAGAGGUGUCCACAUAAUAAAAGGAGGUGUCUACCUGGCAAGUCUCUAAACCAACACACCACAAUCUUUAAAACUAAAAAAUAAUUUAAAAAAUAAUAUAAAUAUAUUUUUAAAGUCUAUAAGUAAAGAAAAUUGUAUAAGCAAGUAAUUCUAGCUUGGUGGUGGAUAGUCUAAGGCUGGAAUUUUAAAUUCGUUCAAUAUUGUAAACUUCAUUUUUAUUCAAGAUAGUAUAUUCUUCAUGAGAAUGUAGAUGUUAGUAUGAGGACAAGAUACAAAUUCAAAAUUUUGAUAUUGUUGGAUACAAUAAUGAAAGCAACAAAAACCUUAUUUUCCACAAUUAAUGAAUUAUAAAAAAGAACAAAGCAAAAUGAAUACUUUUCUCCAAAUAAAACUACUAUAUAUAUAUAUAUAUAUAUAUAUAUAUAUAUAUAUAAAGAAAAAAUAUACAUUUGUGUACAAAAUUGAAGUAAUAAUGAAGUAACUGAAUUCUUGUACGCUAAAGUGCAACAAUAAAUAAAUAAAUAAAAUAAUCUAGAUCAUCAACUUUAAUUUUCAUCAUUGACUCUCUAUUUUCUCUGUGUAGAAAAAAAUUUGAAAUACUGUAAAAGUCUUCAUCAUUUAUACUAGCUCCAAAUGUAGACAAAAACUUGAUUGUGGAAUAAUUUUCAUGAAAUGGUAUUCAUUAAAUAUAAGCACCAAACGUGGAUGAAAUUUUUACAAAAACACAUAUGGAUGUUUUUUUUGCCUCACAAACUCAAAUAUUAUUUGAUGUGUUUAUGAAUGUAUCAUUACAAUAUUACAUGAAAAUGUGGGAUAUUAUCAAAUGAGAUUUGUAGAUACAAAUUUAAUUAUGAGAUUGCAAAUACAAAGCAAGCACAAACUCCUUUUGUUGAGAAUUGGUUGAAAAGUGGAUUGGAUGAAUCGACGCAUGUGGGAUAAAUAAGGUGAUUAGCAAAAGCAUGAUUUGGACAUUGCUACAUGUAAGGAGCCAAUGGAAAAAAAUCAAGUGAAUAGGGCGUGCAUUUGCAUAUGUACUAGAAGUUAUUUAUAUGUUUGUUUCACGUGUGGGUGUGAGAGAGAUACCAAUUGAAACCAACAAUCCAUCACAAUAUGUGUAGGGACAAGCACCAAAAUUAACAACGCCAAGAUAUACACAUAAACACACGAAGUCCACGUCGAUCAGUAGUAGAAUAAUAUUUUGUACUAGUACUUGAAACUGUUUCGAGGUGUCAAAAUCAGAGUGGCGCAGCGGAAGCGUGGUGGGCCCAUAACCCACAGGUCCGAGGAUCGAAACCUCGCUCUGAUAGUGCAGAGAACAUUGCUUCCGUGAUGUUUUUAUGGAUGCUCUCCACAAGUUUUCGAGACGGACCUUUGACAGCAACUGUCGGUAUUACCAUGAAAGAGACUUAUGAUUUUGCCAAAGAGAGGGACCUGUGAUUGAAAUCUUUGGGGUAAAUGUUUUUCAUCACAAGGGAUCUCGGUAUUAUCCUGUACAGUUCAAGAACGACUUCCGAGAAUUCUUAACCGGCAUAUAAAUAUUAAAUUUGAGGCACGGCUGUGAUUGGAAAAUUGAGAAAUGGGCCACGCAGAAAUGAAUCUGAGCAGCAUGAUCUAAAAGAAUGAGGCCGUGCUUCUAUUCGCAGAUAUGACAGCUGGAUGGAAAAAUUGCAGAAAAUCACAUUCAUCGAUUGAGAGGCCACACCGGCUUCAUUCACACGAUCGUCAAGAAUAUUAUCCAAGGGCCGUCCCAGCACUGCGCAGAUUCAGGUGAGACUAAAAAAUAUCAUAAAAUCAAAUUCAGCGCAGACUCUAGCAAAGAACUUAAAAUCGAACAGAAGCAAGCAGCGCAACCGACACCAAUCGUAUAAUCCGUCACAAGUGCUCCUGUACCCAGCACAGAAUGAUGAAAUAGAUUGCCAGAAAAAUGUGUGCCAUUGACACCACAGGUAAUUUAGUGCAGAGGACAAAUGAAACCAUGCAAACAAUGGACCACAACGAAAGAGUUGUUGAAACUAAAAGCGCCAUAGGCUUUGGGGCGUGCAGUGGUGGAGGGGAUGUAAAGGGAGGGAGGGUACGCAGCGGACAUCUGGGCGGGGUAGCGUCCGCUUGUAACCCAAUCGCGGGGGAAGGAGGGUGAGGAUGUGGGGCGCCGGGUAAGGGCCUGCGGAGGCGUGUGGAGGGCCUGCCCACUCCAAGCACGGAGUCGCUAGCGGGAUCUCGCCGGAGGGUGGGGUUGCGCGGGCGAUAGUGAGGGGGGCACCGCGUCAGGCGGGCAACCGAGCAGCGUUCACUCCCCGCUCUGUGUAGUGGAGGGAUAACGGGUCUGAAUGUUCUGCGCAGAUCACCCUGUCCGGCAUGCAUCCACAUACCAUCUUCCGUUUUGUCACCCUUUCAUCCUGAUUAUGUUUGACAAGUGGACAAGAAUAAUAAUUCCUUUUUCUUUUCUUUUUAAGUUUCAUAUUAUUUUGCGGACUAUCCACC